RNAcentral lists this ribosomal RNA (548 nucleotides) under Pseudostichopus sp. 2 AKM-2016. RNAcentral's name for it is "partial 16S ribosomal RNA". It matches the Rfam family "Bacterial large subunit ribosomal RNA", at positions 1797 to 2606 of the family's 2925-position model. Lineage: Eukaryota; Metazoa; Echinodermata; Holothuroidea; Aspidochirotida; Synallactidae. The record is from RNAcentral.
CGCCUGUUUUAUCAAAAACAUAGCCUCCUGAAUUUAUAGAAGGUAAAGCCUGCCCAGUGGAAAUUCUCAACGGCCGCGGUAUCCUAACCGUGCUAAGGUAGCAUAAUCACUUGUUUUUUAAAUAAAAACCUGUAUGAAUGGCACCACAUUUUUUAACUGUCUCCUUUUCUUUCCUUCCAAACUACUAUUUAUGUGAAGAAACAUAAAUACUUAAGAUAGACGAAAAGACCCUGUCGAACUUCAACUCCUAUUAGAUUUUAUAAAUAUUUCUAAAUAUCCUCUUUCUAAUAAAAGUUUUGGUUGGGGUAACCCUGGAGAAAAAAUAACCUCCAGAAAAUAAAAAGAUUUUUAAUCUUUUAAUACUUUAAUAAUAAAGAACCAGACUUCCUGGUUAACAGAAAAAGUUACCGCAGGGAUAACAGCGUUAUCUUCUCUAAGAGCCCAUAUUGACGAGAAGGCUUGCGACCUCGAUGUUGGAUUGGGGUAUCCUAAAGGUGCAACAGCUUUUAAAGGUUGGACUGUUCGUCCAUUAAAACCCUACGUGAUCU